RNAcentral lists this long non-coding RNA (1172 nucleotides) under Bos grunniens (domestic yak). RNAcentral's name for it is "lncRNA (ENSBGRG00000011567.1)". Lineage: Eukaryota; Metazoa; Chordata; Mammalia; Artiodactyla; Bovidae. The record is from RNAcentral.
AUGAGCUCAAGUGUGCCCCAGAAGGGAAAUGUUUCCAUUGUUUCAACACGGACUAGUUUAUGGGAGGUGCUGGAUGACUCCUCAGUGAUGGCAUCCCAUCUGUUUGAUUCUAUUCUCCAGACCAAGCACUUGGAAGGAGCAACCCCUGCUUGUCUGGAACAAUGUGUAGAAGGUAUGAGGGCAGAGAGCUAUUCAUGACAGAAUGUGGUCACGGUUCAAGUCAGCACAGCUGAACAAGGCAUAAAGUGCCAGGAACUUGGCUCUAUAGUCUCUCAGGGUUUGCUUGACCUCCUCUCUUGUCUCGAGUCCAGUAGAAAAGUAUUUAAUUGUCUCCUUAGGCCUUUAUUAACCAAAAGAAAGGUAGAUCAUUUGGCAUGCUGGCACUAAAUAAGGGACAUUUAAAAAUCUGCUGUAAUACUUUUUGUUAUCUCAGUGACCACUACCCCUGCUGCUGACAGGGACCACAAGCGCUACACCUUUUGCAGUGCACAGAACAGUACCUCAUACAUCAAAGGAUUGUUCUGAAUGUUCUAUAGGGCAUCCAUGUUGAUGGAAAACCUAUUAUAACUUUUGAACCUAAUAGCUUUAUUUAUAUACAACCCUAUGACAUUUGUGCAUGGUUUUAAUAUACACUGACUGUUCCUAAGGUGCAACCGGACAAGUCCUAUGGUUAUGGAGAGACAGCUGUGCCUUGAUGUCUUGUACAACACAGUAACUUGAUAUUUUUAUACAAUAUAAAGUUAUUAUAAAACAUGGACUGAAAUACUUUAAUAUCAAAGUCAAUUUAAAUAAUGUUGAAUGAUACUCUUCAAAGCAACAAAGGCAAAGCUAAAAUCUAUUAGCAAUAUUCCUGUUCUUCAAAAUAAAUUCAAGCAAACCAACAUACAAUUAAUGUUUCAGCUGAGGUAACAGGAACAAAUUCUGAGUCCCAUAACAAAGCACCCGAGUCAGAGGAUAGCUCUGUUACCUGUGACGUUCUGGGCUCUUUCUUACCUCUUUUAAGAUCCCGUGUGCCUCGAUUUUGCUUUUAGAAUUGUCUGAAAUUCCUCAGAUUCCAGGUAGGCAAGUUGCUCUCUCCUUUUUUCUUGGCAGGCUCCAAUUCAUCCUCAGCUAGAGCAGAAUGAAAAGUGUGAGCUGUCACAGAGGAACUGCAGAGUCAGUGUGCCUCACCA